GGAGUUAGGAAAUGCAGGUGCGUUAAUAGCGCACUUGUUUGACUAAGGCUCCAGAGGAAGCCACGGCUAACUCUGUGCCAGCAGCCGCGGUAAUACAGAGGCGGCAAGCGUUGUUCGGAAUUAUUGGGCGUAAAGAGCACGUAGGCGGCCUUGCAAGUCAGUUGUGAAAGCCUUCCGCUUAACGGAAGAACGGCAUCUGAUACUACAGGGCUUGAGUACGGGAGGGGAGAGUGGAACU
Molecule: ribosomal RNA, 238 nt
Filed under: uncultured anaerobic ammonium-oxidizing bacterium
Lineage: Bacteria
Description: partial 16S ribosomal RNA
Rfam family: Bacterial small subunit ribosomal RNA
Source: RNAcentral